Molecule: non-coding RNA, 21 nt
Filed under: Arabidopsis thaliana (thale cress)
Lineage: Eukaryota; Viridiplantae; Streptophyta; Magnoliopsida; Brassicales; Brassicaceae
Also listed under: 2 other names
Source: RNAcentral
AUCCUUCGAUGUCGGCUCUUC